UACGUAGGGUGCAAGCGUUAAUCGGAAUUACUGGGCGUAAAGCGUGCGCAGGCGGUGAUGUAAGACAGGUGUGAAAUCCCCGGGCUUAACCUGGGAAUGGCAUUUGGGACUGCAAGGCUGGAGUGCGGCAGAGGAGACUGGAAUUCCUGGUGUAGCAGUGAAAUGCGUAGAUAUCAGGAGGAACACCGAUGGCGAAGGCAGCUCUCUGGGACGGUACUGACGCUGAGACGCGAAAGCGUGGGGAGCGAACAGG
RNAcentral lists this ribosomal RNA (253 nucleotides) under uncultured bacterium. Its description in RNAcentral is "partial 16S ribosomal RNA". It matches the Rfam family "Bacterial small subunit ribosomal RNA", at positions 524 to 776 of the family's 1533-position model. The record is from RNAcentral.